Molecule: ribosomal RNA, 478 nt
Filed under: uncultured bacterium
Lineage: Bacteria
Description: partial 16S ribosomal RNA
Rfam family: Bacterial small subunit ribosomal RNA
Source: RNAcentral
GAUGAACGCUAGCGGCAGGCCUAACACAUGCAAGUCGAGGGAGAAGCCCUUUCGGGGGCAGAAACCGGCGCACGGGUGCGUAACGCGUAUGCAACCUACCUUUCACAGGGGGAUAGCCCGAAGAAAUUUGGAUUAAUACCCCAUAAUAUUAUUGGAUGGCAUCAUUUGAUAAUUAAAACUGCGGUGGUGAAAGAUGGGCAUGCGUCCUAUUAGCUAGUUGGAGUGGUAACGGCACCCCAAGGCUACGAUAGGUAGGGGUCCUGAGAGGGAGAUCCCCCACACUGGUACUGAGACAGGGACCAGACUCCUACGGGAGGCAGCAGUGAGGAAUAUUGGUCAAUGGUCGGAAGACUGAACCAGCCAUGCCGCGUGCAGGAAGAAUGGCUUAUGGGUUGUAAACUGCUUUUAUAUGGGAAGAAUAAGGCGUACGUGUACGUUGAUGACGGUACCAUAUGAAUAAGCAUCGGCUAACUCCGUG